This 259-nucleotide ribosomal RNA is filed under the name uncultured prokaryote. RNAcentral describes it as "partial 16S ribosomal RNA". It matches the Rfam family "Bacterial small subunit ribosomal RNA", at positions 524 to 782 of the family's 1533-position model. The record is from RNAcentral.
UACGGAGGAUGCGAGCGUUAUCCGGAUUUAUUGGGUUUAAAGGGUGCGUAGGCGGGCUAUUAAGUCAGUGGUGAAAUCCUGCAGCUUAACUGCAGAACUGCCGUUGAUACUGAUAGUCUUGAGUUUGGUUAAGGUAGGCGGAAUGUGUAAUGUAGCGGUGAAAUGCUUAGAUAUUACACAGAACACCAAUUGCGUAGGCAGCUUACUGAGCCGACACUGACGCUGAGGCACGAAAGCGUGGGGAUCAAACAGGAUUAGA